This 806-nucleotide long non-coding RNA is filed under the name Physcomitrium patens. RNAcentral's name for it is "long non-coding RNA (PPAT_LNC008149)". The record is from RNAcentral. Lineage: Eukaryota; Viridiplantae; Streptophyta; Bryopsida; Funariales; Funariaceae.
CAAUCAACUGUAUUCCGUACUACUUAAAACACCCAGGAAACACUACAAUGCUUUCCACUUCCUAAUAAUACUCCACCAUCACUGAUAACAACAACUUGUAAUCCCGCACUAUCCUAAAUGACAGGACAUAAUCAUACUAUAAUCCAAACUCUAGAGUUCUUCACCAUUAACUGCCUUCACAUUAUAGUGUUUCACACAAACACAGACUCAUUCUCUCUGCUGAACUACAAUCAGAUUUCAGCAUUCAAUCUUUCUUCUUCCCAUUUAAUAACAAUCAUACUUCCAUUCCAUAAUUCACUUUCACAAUAUUCAGAAACUCUUAAUCUUCUUAUUCAAAGAAAAUAACAAACAAAAGAAAAGAGGUAGCACCAAGCUUACCCUGGCUCACACUAUCACAGUCUGGCCCUUACUUCCUUUCUCCCAUCCUCCUUAUGCUACCACGAGAUACCAACUACUACAUCUCUAAUGAAAACUGCUUUUCCUAACUAUUCAUCCAAUUUACCUACUGAACUACCUUUUCAACAGUCAUCUAUCUCUGUUUAUACUAUAAACUAAGUAUCUACAAUCCAGCAAAUAACUACUUAUUCUACACUUUUGGAUAAGUAUUUAAUUGUUUUCAUUGAUGAUAUCUUAGUCUAUAAUGAAAUCUUUGUAGAGUAUAAAUAACAUAUAUAAAAAGUGCUAUACUAGCUCGAAAAUAGUUACUUCUAUUACAAGAAAUCUAAGUAUAAAUUUUAGAAGUCAAAGAUCAACUUUUUAGGACAUGUAGUAUCUAUUAAAGAAGUGCACAUGAAGUAGAAUAAGAU